CCCAUUCAAACGUUUUCUAUUUGUAAUAUUUAAUUAGGAUAUUGUUCUUCCUCUCAAUUUCUCGCACUGCCAUUUUCGCGGUUCACAAUUUCACAAUCUCCUCUGGCUUGACCACCGCACAACAGUCAUUGUCGUUUCCCUAUCACAACAUCUUCAACAACAUCGUCUCCAACUGCCAAUUUUCCACCUUCAUCGCCAGAUAUGCCUCUAGCAUCGUGGUAGCGACGACCUCCCUGUCUUGUUUAGUUGCUUCGUCUAAGGCGGCCUUUUGUUGCACAGAUAACUGACGGCUUGGGGGAUGAGCUCUUUAGGGUUCGAAGACCCUUUUGGUGGAUAACAAGCUCAAUUUAUGCAGAAGUUGAUGAUCAGGAAGUUUGAGUAGUUCACAGGCGAUGGCAUCUCUGGAGGAGAAUCUACGAUUUGUACCUGAGGGUUUACAGUAGGAUUUGGGCGUCAAACAACAGUGGUAGAAUAUAUAAAUAUUGGCAGUUAAAGCUUGGCUGGAAACCUCUUGGAAUUCUCAUAGGUUGGUUGUUUUCUUCGAAUAUUAUUGCUUUUGUCAAGCUAAGCAUGGAAAUGUCUACACAUCGAGAAUGGAUGUAUAAUAGGCUUCUUCCUGGUCGAGAGGCAUACACAAAUGAGUUUUUAAGUGGCCUUGAAGAGUUUAUGGCUUUUGCUUGUCGACAACCAAAUUUGAGUGAAGGAAAAAUACGAUGUCCAUGCAAGGAAUGUAAAAAUGAGAUAUUUUUUUAAUUCCAGAUAAAGUAAAUGUUCACAUUCUUCGAAAAGGAUUUAUACCUGGAUAUUGGUGUUGGACAUGCCAUGGAGAGAGAAUCCAACAUACUAAUGUUGAUAUGCAUUCCAUGUUAGGUAGUAGUCAACAAUGGGGUCCUCAAGAUGUUAAUAGACAUCAAGACAUGGUGUUUGAUGCUGCUAGUCUUAAUCGAGAGCAAUGUUUUAUACAAAAUGAAGAGGAACUUCCAAAUAUGGAAGCUGCCAAAUUUUAUGAAAUGUUAAAUUCAGCUCAACAACCAUUGUGGCCAGGAUGUAAGAAUACUUCAGAGUUGUC
Vigna unguiculata (cowpea) is the source of this 1069-nucleotide long non-coding RNA. Lineage: Eukaryota; Viridiplantae; Streptophyta; Magnoliopsida; Fabales; Fabaceae. The record is from RefSeq and is a predicted model, not a curated record.